CUUUCGUAGAUAUGUCAUGCUAGGUUAUAAUGAUGCAACUCAAUUGGCGUCUAGCUUGGAAUUAUGCGAUAAAAGGUGCAUGUCCUACCUAUACAUUGUUGAAUGCAUAUUGAUCAACGUUUAGUACAAUAUUUUCUCACGCUUGGCCAAGUAAUAGAGAAUCGAGAGGUUUCCUAGAUAAGCAGGGGUCAAACAAGGAUUUUCUAUCAAACUUAGUUAUAAAGUCUACUUUUAAUUUCUAGACGGUAUAAUUUCUAUACAGUAUAAGUAUAAAACUAUGCUAGUCUAAAUAUUUACACAGAGGAUUCUGUAGAGUAGUAUGAAAUAGAAUAAUGAUGAAAUGUGAAGUAACUUGUAUUAAGGAAGAUGAAGGAAGUCUCCGCAUAAUAGGCCAGUUAAGCUAUCUGAUAUGCUCUUGAUGUGAUAUAAAUCACUUAACCAUCUUCUAUUGAAGGCGAGCACCCUCUCAACGUCUAAACACCAC
Molecule: long non-coding RNA, 484 nt
Filed under: Cucumis sativus (cucumber)
Lineage: Eukaryota; Viridiplantae; Streptophyta; Magnoliopsida; Cucurbitales; Cucurbitaceae
Description: long non-coding RNA (CSAT_LNC000569)
Source: RNAcentral